RNAcentral lists this ribosomal RNA (402 nucleotides) under uncultured bacterium. RNAcentral describes it as "bacterial SSU rRNA". It matches the Rfam family "Bacterial small subunit ribosomal RNA", at positions 355 to 774 of the family's 1533-position model. The record is from RNAcentral.
UGGGGAAUCUUGCACAAUGGGGGAAACCCUGAUGCAGCGACGCCGCGUGAACGAUGAAGCCCUUCGGGGUGUAAAGUUCUUUCGACAGGAACGAUAAUGACGGUACCUGGAGAAGAAGCUGCGGCUAACUACGUGCCAGCAGCCGCGGUAAUACGUAGGCAGCGAGCGUUGUUCGGAGUUACUGGGCGUAAAGAGUGCGUAGGCGGCGAGCCAAGUUUGGUGUGAAAUCUCCCGGCUUAACCGGGAGGGUGCGCCGAAAACUGGUUGGCUGGAGUAUGGGAGAGGAAAGCGGAAUUCCUGGUGUAGCGGUGAAAUGCGUAGAUAUCAGGAGGAACACCUGCGGUGUAGACAGCUUUCUGGACCAAAACUGACGCUGAGGCACGAAAGGGUGGGUAGCAAACA